Molecule: long non-coding RNA, 952 nt
Filed under: Prunus dulcis (almond)
Lineage: Eukaryota; Viridiplantae; Streptophyta; Magnoliopsida; Rosales; Rosaceae
Description: sRNA ncRNA
Source: RNAcentral
AUGGUGGCUGUUGGCCAAGUAAAUCUCAUGGAGAUGGUGUUAUCACAAUGUGCUAUUUGCAUUAGCUCUUUAUCUUUUCUGUUCUUUCUGUUCAUGUCUUGUUUAGAUUUGUCUCUGUUACGUGCUAUGUUUAUUCAUUUUAGCACCUCUAGUAGUCAUUUUCACCAUUAAAGUAUAAAGGUUUUUGCUUAAAUAUCGGUGGCUCAAGGCUGGUUUUGUUAGUUUCCGUUGAUUUGGAAAUCUUUCAGAUAAUGUGCCGUGUCUAUUUGCUUGAUAUUGCAAUUUGCAGUUCUAUUUUUCUACUUGAAGCCUAGUGCUAGUUCUAUUUGACUGAGACCUUUCACUUACAUUUCAUGAACAUUAGUGCCCACUUUAUAUGAGUAGGCUAGUUAUUGUUUUUAUUUAGUAAACUAGGGUACAAGUACUACUUACCUGACAUAGUAUCUUUUAUUUUAAACAUCUUUAUUUGCUGAUUGUAACCACUUUUCCAAUCGAAAUCUUCGGGUAUAUAAAUGUUGUGGGAUACAUUUCUGAAUGUAAUUUGGGAAAGCGUGCCAAAUGGUUGUGCUAUUCAUGAUAUUUUGAUGCUUGUUCAUAGAAUUCUGACUUAUGUGUUUGUUCUAAAACAAUUGGUUAAUGUUGUUGCCUCUGUCUUGUAGCACUGCUGUGGUUGCUUACUGCAGCAUGUAUCAAGACGGGGAGGCCUCAGACUGCUAAGAGAGCAAUUGAACAGGUGGAGCAGCGGCUCUCAAAAGACAGGUGGCCAGAAUACUAUGACGGCAUGGCAGGGAGAUAUGCCAGGAAGUAAGCGAGGAAGUACCAGACCUGGAGCAUCUCAGGAUAUCUGGUAGCUAAACUGAUGAUCGAGAACCCAGCCAAUCUUUCACUAAUCCCUCUUGAAGAGGACAAGAAGAUAGCCAAGCCAAGGCUCACCCGCUCCGCUUCCUUUUGA